AUUGAACGCUGGCGGCAUGCCUUACACAUGCAAGUCGAACGGCAGCACGGGAGCUUGCUCCUGGUGGCGAGUGGCGAACGGGUGAGUAAUGCAUCGGAACGUGCCCUGAAGUGGGGGAUAACGUAGCGAAAGUUACGCUAAUACCGCAUAUUCUGUGAGCAGGAAAGCAGGGGAUCUUCGGACCUUGCGCUUUUGGAGCGGCCGAUGUCGGAUUAGCUAGUUGGUGGGGUAAAGGCCCACCAAGGCGACGAUCCGUAGCGGGUCUGAGAGGAUGAUCCGCCACACUGGAACUGAGACACGGUCCAGACUCCUACGGGAGGCAGCAGUGGGGGAAUUUUGGACAAUGGGCGCAAGCCUGAUCCAGCCAUGCCGCGUGAGUGAAGAAGGCCUUC
RNAcentral lists this ribosomal RNA (392 nucleotides) under uncultured bacterium. Its description in RNAcentral is "bacterial SSU rRNA". It matches the Rfam family "Bacterial small subunit ribosomal RNA", at positions 30 to 419 of the family's 1533-position model. The record is from RNAcentral.